GACGAACGCUGGCGGCGUGCCUAAUACAUGCAAGUAGAACGCUGAAGAGAGGAGCUUGCUCUUCUUGGAUGAGUUGCGAACGGGUGAGUAACGCGUAGGUAACCUGCCUGGUAGCGGGGGAUAACUAUUGGAAACGAUAGCUAAUACCGCAUAAUAGCAGUUAUUGCAUGAUAACUGUUUGAAAGGUGCAAAUGCAUCACUACCAGAUGGACCUGCGUUGUAUUAGCUAGUUGGUGAGGUAACGGCUCACCAAGGCGACGAUACAUAGCCGACCUGAGAGGGUGAUCGGCCACACUGGGACUGAGACACGGCCCAGACUCCUACGGGAGGCAGCAGUAGGGAAUCUUCGGCAAUGGACGGAAGUCUGACCGAGCAACGCCGCGUGAGUGAAGAAGGUUUUCGGAUCGUAAAGCUCUGUUGUAAGAGAAGAACGAGUGUGAGAGUGGAGAGUUCACACUGUGACGUAUCUACCAGAAAGGACGCA
RNAcentral lists this ribosomal RNA (484 nucleotides) under Streptococcus mitis. RNAcentral's name for it is "bacterial SSU rRNA". It matches the Rfam family "Bacterial small subunit ribosomal RNA", at positions 28 to 496 of the family's 1533-position model. The record is from RNAcentral. Lineage: Bacteria; Bacillati; Bacillota; Bacilli; Lactobacillales; Streptococcaceae.